Long non-coding RNA from Vespa velutina, 227 nucleotides. RefSeq lists it as uncharacterized. NCBI's taxonomy places the organism in Eukaryota, Metazoa, Arthropoda, Insecta, Hymenoptera, Vespidae. The record is from RefSeq and is a predicted model, not a curated record. The transcript is spliced from 3 exons.
CAGCUGCCAAGAUAUCACGGAAUUCACGUCGUCGUCGUUUUAAUUACAGUUAUUUCUAUUAUUCUGCAAAAAAGAAGAGGUCAACCCGGAAUACUGUGAUCAUUAUUGGUAUUGAAUCAAAUAAACCAAUAGCAAUUUCAAUUAAAUUUGAUGUUGACCUAACAUAUUUUCAACCAACUUUUUGCGCGGACGAGUGUUUUGGAGCCAUCAGGGAACUUCAUAAGUAG